GGAAUAUUGAGGUAACUAAGUUAAAGAGAGUAAAAAAAUUAGCAGAUGUGUUUAUGCAGCUGAUAUGUGUAGUAUAUUCCUUUAGUUGCAGUUGUUUUGAUGUUGUGUUCAGAGUUAUAGGAUCGAAAUAAUCAGGUCUCAUGCUAGUAAAGUUCAUAUAUGGACAUAGUGCCUAACUCAAGUCCCCCAUCCUUUUGGUCGAUGUGGGAGACUCAACACACUCUCCCCCUCUCAACACGCCCAAGCCUUCCAACUGAAAUGUGGACAAUAUAAUAUGGGAGUCCAACAUCGGUGAAAAAAAGAAUUGGGAUAUGUCCGUCUCUGAUACCACUUGUUGAGAUCGAAAUAAUCAGGUGUCAUGCGGAUAUUAACAAGUGGUAUCAGAGCGAGGUUCAAGACAUAUUCAUCUAGACUGGUUUAGUUCUAGCCGCAACCUAUUUGACGAUAAUCAUGACAAGUGUUUGUUGUUUGAUUUAUCAUCCUUCAAUGUUUGCUUUACUAGCUUCCAUAUGACACCUGAUUAUUUUUAUCCUAACACUAAACACAACAAUUUACUUAAGUUAUUG
Molecule: long non-coding RNA, 566 nt
Filed under: Nicotiana tabacum (common tobacco)
Lineage: Eukaryota; Viridiplantae; Streptophyta; Magnoliopsida; Solanales; Solanaceae
Description: long non-coding RNA (NTAB_LNC016983)
Source: RNAcentral